ACUGCGGAUAGUUCGCGCUCUGCCCAGCUCGAGGUGAAGGAACUCUCACAUGCACCUCAGCCUUCAAUCCACAAACCACAUCGCCCAACGGGUCGCCCAGAGCUACGUACACCCGUGGUCAGGGAUCCCCCGGUGGGAGAAGAACAUGCCGCAUACACCCGCAGCCGAGAUCCCCGAUAGGGAGAGGAACAUGCCACAUGCACCCUAGCGCUCAUGAUUCUUGCUCAAUAACAAGCCUCGAAGUUCUUCCGGUGGGAGAGGAACAUGCCACAUGCACCCGCGGCCAAGAACUAUCGAGCUUGUAUGCUGCACUAGCAACCGUUGCACUAGCAGCAGGGAUUCCGAAAUCCAC
This 352-nucleotide long non-coding RNA is filed under the name Ananas comosus (pineapple). RNAcentral's name for it is "long non-coding RNA (ACOM_LNC005431)". Lineage: Eukaryota; Viridiplantae; Streptophyta; Magnoliopsida; Poales; Bromeliaceae. The record is from RNAcentral.